Molecule: ribosomal RNA, 433 nt
Filed under: uncultured bacterium
Lineage: Bacteria
Description: bacterial SSU rRNA
Rfam family: Bacterial small subunit ribosomal RNA
Source: RNAcentral
ACGAACGCUGGCGGCAGGCUUAACACAUGCAAGUCGAACGAAGGCUUCGGCCUUAGUGGCGCACGGGUGAGUAACGCGUGGGAACCGGCCCUUGAGUGGGGGAUAACCUCGGGAAACUGAGGCUAAUACCGCAUAAUCCCUGAGGGGAAAAGACUUCGGUCGCUUAAGGAAGGGCCCGCGCCCGAUUAGGUAGUUGGUGUGGUAACGGCGCACCAAGCCGACGAUCGGUAGCUGGUCUGAGAGGAUGAUCAGCCACACUGGGACUGAGACACGGCCCAGACUCCUACGGGAGGCAGCAGUGGGGAAUAUUGGACAAUGGGCGCAAGCCUGAUCCAGCCAUGCCGCGUGAGUGAAGAAGGCCUUCGGGUUGUAAAGCUCUUUCAGCGGGGACGAUGAUGACGGUACCCGCAGAAGAAGCCCCGGCUAACUUCGU